AAAUUGAAGAGUUUGAUCAUGGCUCAGAUUGAACGCUGGCGGCAGGCCUAACACAUGCAAGUCGAACGGUAACAGGAAGCAGCUUGCUGCUUCGCUGACGAGUGGCGGACGGGUGAGUAAUGUCUGGGAAACUGCCUGAUGGAGGGGGAUAACUACUGGAAACGGUGGCUAAUACCGCAUAACGUCGCAAGACCAAAGAGGGGGACCUUCGGGCCUCUUGCCAUCAGAUGUGCCCAGAUGGGAUUAGCUUGUUGGUGAGGUAACGGCUCACCAAGGCGACGAUCCCUAGCUGGUCUGAGAGGAUGACCAGCCACACUGGAACUGAGACACGGUCCAGACUCCUACGGGAGGCAGCAGUGGGGAAUAUUGCACAAUGGGCGCAAGCCUGAUGCAGCCAUGCCGCGUGUAUGAAGAAGGCCUUCGGGUUGUAAAGUACUUUCAGCGGGGAGGAAGGUGUUGUGGUUAAUAACCACAGCAAUUGACGUUACCCGCAGAAGAAGCACCGGCUAACUCCGUGCCAGCAGCCGCGGUAAUACGGAGGGUGCAAGCGUUAAUCGGAAUUACUGGGCGUAAAGCGCACGCAGGCGGUCUGUCAAGUCGGAUGUGAAAUCCCCGGGCUCAACCUGGGAACUGCAUUCGAAACUGGCAGGCUUGAGUCUUGUAGAGGGGGGUAGAAUUCCAGGUGUAGCGGUGAAAUGCGUAGAGAUCUGGAGGAAUACCGGUGGCGAAGGCGGCCCCCUGGACAAAGACUGACGCUCAGGUGCGAAAGCGUGGGGAGCAAACAGGAUUAGAUACCCUGGUAGUCCACGCCGUAAACGAUGUCUACUUGGAGGUUGUGCCCUUGAGGCGUGGCUUCCGGAGCUAACGCGUUAAGUAGACCGCCUGGGGAGUACGGCCGCAAGGUUAAAACUCAAAUGAAUUGACGGGGGCCCGCACAAGCGGUGGAGCAUGUGGUUUAAUUCGAUGCAACGCGAAGAACCUUACCUGGUCUUGACAUCCACAGAACUUUCCAGAGAUGGAUUGGUGCCUUCGGGAACUGUGAGACAGGUGCUGCAUGGCUGUCGUCAGCUCGUGUUGUGAAAUGUUGGGUUAAGUCCCGCAACGAGCGCAACCCUUAUCCUUUGUUGCCAGCGGUUAGGCCGGGAACUCAAAGGAGACUGCCAGUGAUAAACUGGAGGAAGGUGGGGAUGACGUCAAGUCAUCAUGGCCCUUACGACCAGGGCUACACACGUGCUACAAUGGCGCAUACAAAGAGAAGCGACCUCGCGAGAGCAAGCGGACCUCAUAAAGUGCGUCGUAGUCCGGAUUGGAGUCUGCAACUCGACUCCAUGAAGUCGGAAUCGCUAGUAAUCGUGGAUCAGAAUGCCACGGUGAAUACGUUCCCGGGCCUUGUACACACCGCCCGUCACACCAUGGGAGUGGGUUGCAAAAGAAGUAGGUAGCUUAACCUUCGGGAGGGCGCUUACCACUUUGUGAUUCAUGACUGGGGUGAAGUCGUAACAAGGUAACCGUAGGGGAACCUGCGGUUGGA
This 1531-nucleotide ribosomal RNA is filed under the name Salmonella enterica subsp. enterica serovar Heidelberg. Its description in RNAcentral is "bacterial SSU rRNA". It matches the Rfam family "Bacterial small subunit ribosomal RNA". The record is from RNAcentral. RNAcentral also lists the same sequence under 1 other name. Lineage: Bacteria; Pseudomonadati; Pseudomonadota; Gammaproteobacteria; Enterobacterales; Enterobacteriaceae.